ACGCAACCCCAAGAGGUGGCACGCCCUUAUCCGUAGGGAGCGUUUCCGCCAUUUUUGAAAAUUGGUAAGGUCCUGAUUUUAAGUGUAGUUGCCGACGCAAUGGCAGCCUUUGCCGUGGAACCUCAGGGGCCCGCGUUAGGAUCUGAACCAAUGAUGCUGGGUUCACCCACAUCUCCAAAGCCAGGAGUUAAUGCCCAGUUCUUACCUGGAUUUUUAAUGGGGGAUUUGCCAGCUCCGGUGACUCCACAACCUCGAUCAAUUAGUGGCCCUUCGGUAGGAGUAAUGGAAAUGAGAUCACCUUUACUUGCAGGUGGGUCACCACCGCAACCAGUUUUACCAGCUCAUAAAGAUAAAAGUGGCGCUCCACCAGUUAGAAGUAUAUAUGAUGACAUUUCUAGCCCAGGACUUGGAUCAACACCUUUAACUUCAAGAAGACAGCCAAACAUUUCAGUAAUGCAGAGUCCUCUUGUUGGAGUUACAUCUACUCCUGGAACAGGGCAAAGUAUGUUUAGUCCAGCAAGUAUCGGUCAGCCACGAAAGACGACAUUAUCUCCUGCCCAGUUGGAUCCUUUUUAUACUCAAGGAGAUUCUUUGACUUCAGAAGAUCACCUCGAUGACUCUUGGGUGACUGUGUUUGGGUUUCCUCAAGCAUCUGCGUCCUACAUAUUAUUACAAUUUGCACAGUAUGGGAAUAUCUUAAAACAUGUGAUGUCUAAUACAGGAAAUUGGAUGCAUAUUCGUUACCAAUCUAAACUGCAGGCUCGGAAAGCCUUAAGCAAAGAUGGGAGGAUUUUUGGAGAAUCCAUCAUGAUUGGUGUAAAACCAUGUAUUGACAAAAGUGUUAUGGAAAGCAGUGACAGAUGUGCUUUAUCAUCUCCAUCUUUAGCCUUUACACCACCAAUCAAAACUCUAGGUACACCAACACAACCUGGAAGUACUCCUAGGAUUUCUACCAUGAGACCUCUUGCUACAGCAUACAAAGCCUCUACUAGUGAUUAUCAGGUUAUUUCUGACAGACAAACGCCAAAAAAAGAUGAAAGUCUUGUAUCCAAAGCCAUGGAGUACAUGUUUGGCUGGUAGUAGAAGACCAAGGAGGAGGUUGCUACACUAAAACGGAGUUAGCAGAGUGCUGCUGGUUCCUUCGGUCUGCUGGAGUUUGCUGGAGGUCCACUCCAGACCCUGUUUGCCUGGAUAUUACCAGCAGAGGCUGCAGAACUGCAAAAAUUGCUGCCUGAUUCUUCCUCUCAGCUAAACAAGCACUGGCCUGGAGAUAAGCAAGAUGAAACAAUUGCAUCUCAUCCCUUGCUAGACACUGACUAACCCCCUGUUCCACAAGCCGUAACUACAGCUUUGAUUGGACAACAGACUGAUUUCAGUAACUUUCUCUUGAUAAGAUGUCACCUGCCAUGGACUGGUUCUGGCUGGUUUACAGAGGCACUGAAUGCCCUCAUGCCCCUGCUUCACCCUUUGAUGUACAGGGCCUAAUUGUAAUACAUUUAAAUGUUAAGUCUUCAUCCUAAAAUGAACAUGGGUUAUAUGUAACAUCAUGUUUAUUCAGUAAACCCCCUUUGUGAAUCUAGCCACUCCUGCACGCUGUUGAAUAUGUAUGUUUAGACCACCCUUUCAGCAUAAAGCUCCUGCCCUAAUCCCUCCUCCUUUGAAGUGCCCGCCUCUGAGUUUGACCAGAGGCUGCUUCUUAGCUUGCAGGUUGUAACUUCCAUAAGAA
This is an RNA transcript of Piliocolobus tephrosceles (Ugandan red Colobus), 1726 nucleotides long. It is a transcript of the gene named nucleoporin 35, with no coding region annotated. The record is from RefSeq and is a predicted model, not a curated record. The transcript is spliced from 11 exons. NCBI's taxonomy places the organism in Eukaryota, Metazoa, Chordata, Mammalia, Primates, Cercopithecidae.